AGGGAAAGGUGAAAAGCACCCCGGAAGGGGAGUGAAAGAGAUCCUGAAACCGUGUGCCUACAAGUAGUCAGAGCCCGUUAACGGGUGAUGGCGUGCCUUUUGUAGAAUGAACCGGCGAGUUACGAUCUCGUGCAAGGUUAAGCAGAAGAUGCGGAGCCGCAGCGAAAGCGAGUCUGAAUAGGGCGCAUGAGUACGUGGUCGUAGACCCGAAACCAGGUGAUCUACCCAUGUCCAGGGUGAAGUUCAGGUAACACU
This 255-nucleotide ribosomal RNA is filed under the name Bacillus subtilis. RNAcentral's name for it is "partial 23S ribosomal RNA". It matches the Rfam family "Bacterial large subunit ribosomal RNA", at positions 506 to 763 of the family's 2925-position model. Lineage: Bacteria; Bacillati; Bacillota; Bacilli; Caryophanales; Bacillaceae. The record is from RNAcentral.